This is a non-coding RNA of Pelobates cultripes (western spadefoot toad), 69 nucleotides long. Lineage: Eukaryota; Metazoa; Chordata; Amphibia; Anura; Pelobatidae. The record is from the annotation of a GenBank genome assembly.
UUUAACGUCGAGCCAGACGUACAAUGCCUGAUGUCUAAGUUUUGUUCGUUCGGCUCGCGUUAUGCAGGU